GGUGAGUAAUGCAUAGAUAACGUACCCCGGACACCGGGAUAGCUGUGGGAAACCGCAGGUAAUACCGGAUGAUGUCUUUGGAUCGCAUGGUUCAAAGAUCAAAGGUUUCGGUCGGUCUGGGAGCGGUCUAUGUCGUAUCAGCUAGUUGGUGAGGUAAAGGCUCACCAAGGCAGCGACGCGUAGCGGGACUGAGAGGUUGACCCGCCACAUCGGGACUGAGACACUGCCCGGACCCCCACGGGGGGCUGCAGUAACGAAUAUUGCGCAAUGGGCGCAAGCCUGACGCAGCGACGCCGCGUGUAGGACGAAGCCCCUCGGGGUGUAAACUACUGUUCGGGUGACGAAAGGCAGUUUCGGCUGCUUGAUCGAUCCCGGAGGAAGCCACGGCUAACUUCGUGCCAGCAGCCGCGGUAAUACGAAGGUGGCAAGCGUUGUUCGGAAUUACUGGGCUUAAAGCGCACGUAGGCGGAAAGUUAAGUGUCUUGUGAAAGCCCCCGGCUUAACCGGGGAACUGCAGGGCAUACUGGCUUUCUUGAGGCAAGUAGGGGUGCAUGGAACUCUGGGUGGAGCGGUGAAAUGCGUAGAUAUCCAGAGGAACGCCAGAGGUGAAAACGGUGCACUGGACUUGUACUGACGCUGAGGUGCGAAAGCGUGGGGAUCGAACGGGAUUAGAUACCCCGGUAGUCCACGCCGUAAACGAUGUCUACUAGAUCGUGGGAGUUCUGACGCUUUCACGGUCGAAGCAAAAGUGCUAAGUAGACCGCCUGGGGAGUACGGUCGCAAGGCUAAAACUCAAAGGAAUUGACGGGGGCUCACACAAGCGGUGGAGCAUGUGGCUUAAUUCGAAGCAACGCGAAGAACCUUAUCCUGGGUUUGACAUGUACGGAUGCCUGCCUCGAAAGGGGAUUUGGCUGCCUUCGGGUGAAACGUACACAGGUGCUGCAUGGCUGUCGUCAGCUCGUGUCGUGAGAUGUCGGGUUAA
This 982-nucleotide ribosomal RNA is filed under the name uncultured organism. RNAcentral describes it as "bacterial SSU rRNA". It matches the Rfam family "Bacterial small subunit ribosomal RNA", at positions 105 to 1083 of the family's 1533-position model. The record is from RNAcentral.